GGAGGUAUACCUCAAAUGGUAGAGCACAUGCUUAGCCCACAUAAGGUACUGGGUUCAAUCCCCAGUACCUCCU
This 73-nucleotide transfer RNA is filed under the name Camelus ferus (Wild Bactrian camel). It matches the Rfam family "tRNA". From Rfam's summary of the family: Transfer RNA (tRNA) molecules are approximately 80 nucleotides in length. Their secondary structure includes four short double-helical elements and three loops (D, anti-codon, and T loops). Lineage: Eukaryota; Metazoa; Chordata; Mammalia; Artiodactyla; Camelidae. The record is from Rfam by way of RNAcentral.